Molecule: transfer RNA, 64 nt
Filed under: Tomicus piniperda (common pine shoot beetle)
Lineage: Eukaryota; Metazoa; Arthropoda; Insecta; Coleoptera; Curculionidae
Description: tRNA-Thr
Source: RNAcentral
GUUUUAAUAGUUUAAAAAAAACAUUGAUUUUGUAAAUCAAUAAUAAGAAUCUUCUUUUAAAACU